CGGGACGUGGCGCAGCCUGGUAGCGCGCCUGCUUUGGGAGCAGGAGGCCGGCGGUUCGAAUCCGCCCGUCCCGACCU
This 77-nucleotide transfer RNA is filed under the name Actinomycetes bacterium. RNAcentral's name for it is "Actinobacteria bacterium tRNA-Pro". It matches the Rfam family "tRNA". Rfam says of the family: Transfer RNA (tRNA) molecules are approximately 80 nucleotides in length. Their secondary structure includes four short double-helical elements and three loops (D, anti-codon, and T loops). Further hydrogen bonds mediate the characteristic L-shaped molecular structure. tRNAs have two regions of fundamental functional importance: the anti-codon, which is responsible for specific mRNA codon recognition, and the 3' end, to which the tRNAs corresponding amino acid is attached (by aminoacyl-tRNA synthetases). tRNAs cope with the degeneracy of the genetic code in two manners: having more than one tRNA (with a specific anti-codon) for a particular amino acid; and 'wobble' base-pairing, i.e. permitting non-standard base-pairing at the 3rd anti-codon position. Lineage: Bacteria; Bacillati; Actinomycetota; Actinomycetes. The record is from RNAcentral.